This is a long non-coding RNA of Pezoporus occidentalis (night parrot), 1271 nucleotides long. RefSeq lists it as uncharacterized. The transcript has 3 exons. The record is from RefSeq and is a predicted model, not a curated record. Lineage: Eukaryota; Metazoa; Chordata; Aves; Psittaciformes; Psittacidae.
GAGUGUUUUUGGAGAGGAAGUGCCCAUCUGUAGUCAAUAGCUAUUGUUCUCAUGGAACCACAUGCCGGCCUCACUGCAGCCUGCCGAACUGCGUCACGACACUGCAGUAUCAGCCCCUUUGAAUAAAGACUCCCUGUUGAACCAGAUUUACCCACCCUACCAUUUUCACUGUCAUUUGAUUAUCUGCUUGUAUUUUCUGGCUGUGCUAAUGCAGUCUUUUAGCAGUGUUAUCAGAGAAUCCCUAUGGCUCGAUAUCUUGCAAAGCUGGACAGAUCUCCUUGUGUUUGCUUGUUUUCUUCAUUGCCCUCUCCAUUCGCUGGCACAUACAAUGGCAACUCUGGGAUUUCUGACCCUGAACUAAACUGCUGCAGGGCUGAGCGAGAGACUUGGCAGCUUUUGCAGGUAAUCUUUGGGAAUGGGGGUACUAUUCUUGUGUAUAGAGCUGCAGGUUACUGUAGGGAACUAGAGCAGUGUCCCAGAGUCCUAAAGAUAAGACACGUCACAGCAACUGUUUUUUAAUAAGGCCUAACUCAUUCUGUUUCUUUGUUUACCCAUCUCCUUCCCAAUCCUACCAAACUUUCAUUUGAUUUGACCUUUUCUUCAUUCGUGCAAUGAAAUCACUCUGGGUGACUAAGACCUGCCUAUCUGCACUGCAACAUAUUACAGGGAGAAGUUGUGGGCAAAGCUCUGAAUCCAAGAGUGUCAAGAAGGAACUAUGAUUCCUUUGUGUAGUGAGUUUUCUAGGUUGUGUUGUUUGCAGGAAAUACAGUUUUUUUUCAAACAGAUCCACAGAAAUCACAGUACAUUUUCUGUAACAAGUUCAGGUGAGUAAGCCAAUACCUGCCAAUGUUGGAUAGGAUUGUUCUUCCUCUUGCUUAGCUAGCUCAAACUUUUAAAAUAAAAUAACAUCUAACAACAAAUACAGCAUAAAUUUGCCAUGCUUGCUAUUAUUGAUGAACACAUUGCAAAGAGUAACAUAACAAAAUAUAUUUGCACAUUGUACAGUGGAACAAAACAUAUGUGAAAUUUUUCAGGCCUCCAGAAUUCAUAUUACAGUUUCCUCCUCUUGAGGAGGAAAGAUGGAUCUGUAGGGAAAGUGAGAUGAAGGGAAAAUCUGAAGUAAUUUUAUGGAGUUAAGAGUGUGAUUGGGCAAUAAGAAUAAAUUUAUAUUUGUUCUGGUUUGGGGAUAAGUUUUUCAGGGGUUAAUUAACUUCAUGCUCUGUUCAUUUCUUCUUUGUGAACUCUGUAGAAAUGACUGUUAUCCUUUAAUU